This 1107-nucleotide long non-coding RNA is filed under the name Salvia miltiorrhiza (redroot sage). Its description in RNAcentral is "long non-coding RNA (SMIL_LNC012325)". Lineage: Eukaryota; Viridiplantae; Streptophyta; Magnoliopsida; Lamiales; Lamiaceae. The record is from RNAcentral.
GAAAAUCGAGUAAGGAUAUUGUUGGUGUCCUUAACUCAAGAAUUUAGUUUUCAAUUAUUUAUUUAUUAAAUUUUGAAAACCCGGCUAAGUGAAUCAUAGAAUAUUAAGCACUACACCAUGACUUAAGAUUAGCUUCACGAGACCUAUUAAGAAUAGAAUUUCUUGUAGGCUUUGUGACCAGGGGGAUUAGCGCUGCUUUCCCAAGACAGGUUUAUAUGUGAUUAUGAUCUUCAGGCUUUGCCUAACCAGGUGGGCUUACUUUCCAAAUGUACAAAGUAUGAUUGAGUUAUUAAGCUCUAAAUGUUUCAAUGAAAUGCAAAUUGUUUAUUUAAUGUAAUGAAAACUGUUUAUCCAAUAAAAUGUUUAUGUGCACUCUGCUCUGUUUAAGGCUCGCACAGUUAAUCAAUUGAGGUUCUCUUAUGACCUAAUACGUUGUUUGAGAAUUGUGUACACUUGUUAGUUGACUCGGUGGGUUGAUCUCCAUCGGGCUCUAACCAGAGGCGUUAUAAGGGUGCUCGGCUGGAUGUGUUCCGGAGCAUGAGAAAUAUCAGGCCUGCCUGGGUAGCGUCCCGAGGUCAAAGUAAACUUGUCUGGGUUACGCCCUCAGUUCAAGUAAGCGGGAGACAGAGAUCCGUCGGUGGCUAAAAGGUCCGGGAUCACAGCGAGUAACAGAAAGGGAGUGUGACAUGUGCGCACAAAUGAAAGAAAAUGUUUUAACAUGCUUAGAAGUUAUUUCAAUUUAAAACCUUCUAAGUCAUGUCAAGUAUGAUUGGAUAAACUGUCUUUAUUAAAAUAUAAAAUGUUUCAGAAAAUGCAUGCCCACUAAGUACAUUAGUACUUAGCCCAAAAAUACUUUCAAAUGUUUUCAGGUUGGCUGGCCGGUGCUGACGGGACGGAGCUGAGGCUAGUGAUAAAUUCCUAUGUUAGACUUCCGCUGUAGCAAUUACUCAUAUCAGUCUUUUGUUUUUCCAACUUAAGAUCUUCAUGUUAAAUUUCAAAUGAUAUAUUUGACCGAGCUUAGGCUCUUCACUACUAAAUUUAUGCAAAUGAAUGUCGGUUGUCAGAAGCAUGAAACAAAACUUGUGAUCCAAAGGGGCAUAGCCCGAC